Molecule: long non-coding RNA, 665 nt
Organism: Pseudophryne corroboree (corroboree frog)
Lineage: Eukaryota; Metazoa; Chordata; Amphibia; Anura; Myobatrachidae
Exons: 6
Source: RefSeq, a predicted model, not a curated record
GCGGAGGUAGUGCCGGGGGAAUACCCAGCGGUGCAGCUCGUACAGUGAAGCACAAUGAGCCUACAGGCAGGGCUCUGAUUCACUGUGGCUGGCCCCGCCCACCACACUCUGAGUGCACAGCAUGUAACGGCCCAGCCCCAGCCUCCCUCUUCCUGAUCCUAGAUGGAUGUGGCUGCCCUGACCUGCCUUCCCACACUGUCCCUGGGCAACAAAGCUACAAGUCUUCGGAUUGGUAUCCUCAAUAUGACCCAACAUAGACGAGUCUUCGGAUUGGUAUCCUCAAUAUGACCCAACAUAGACGCUUGGAUGAGAUGACGGAACAAUGGCUACAGAAAGCAUGAUGUCAUCCCCACUUAAAGCACACAUGGAAACGGACAAAAUGUUAAACACUGGGGAUUACACUGGGGGUCCUCAUUAAGAUAAUAAGGGAUGUAGUGAAAUGUGGACAUGGACUAUGUCAUCAUGACAUAUUCACAACAUCAACAUCUUAAUGUCGACAUGUGAAAUGCCGACAUUAUUCAAAGACCAGCAGCAGAGAGUCAGGCUGGACCCGCCAUACCAGAUCCUGAGGGUGCCUCAGCCUGCACUUUGUUCCGGCAUGCUUUUUUCCCUCCUUUAUGGCCACCAAAGGAGCCUUGCUGAAUGCAGCUGAAAGAGGACUUCUA